GACGAACGCUGGCGGCGUGCUUAACACAUGCAAGUCGAACGGAAAGGCCCUGCUUUUGUGGGGUGCUCGAGUGGCGAACGGGUGAGUAACACGUGAGUAACCUGCCCUUGACUUUGGGAUAACUUCAGGAAACUGGGGCUAAUACCGGAUAGGAGCUCCUGCUGCAUGGUGGGGGUUGGAAAGUUUCGGCGGUUGGGGAUGGACUCGCGGCUUAUCAGCUUGUUGGUGGGGUAGUGGCUUACCAAGGCUUUGACGGAUAGCCGGCCUGAGAGGGUGAACGGCCACAAUGGGACUGAGAUACGGCCCAGACUCCUAUGGGAGGCAGCAGUGGGGAAUAUUGCACAAUGGGCGGAAGCCUGAUGCAGCAACGCCGCGUGCGGGAUGAAGGCCUUCGGGUUGUAAACCGCUUUCGCCUGUGACGAAGCGUGAGUGACGGUAAUGGGUAAAGAAGCACCGGCUAACUACGUG
RNAcentral lists this ribosomal RNA (468 nucleotides) under uncultured bacterium. RNAcentral's name for it is "partial 16S ribosomal RNA". It matches the Rfam family "Bacterial small subunit ribosomal RNA", at positions 28 to 507 of the family's 1533-position model. The record is from RNAcentral.